GAUUCUGGGGUGUAACAUAUGCGGUUGCAAACCGCAAGAAGUAGAAUGAAAAUCUACCGGAAUCU
This 65-nucleotide transfer RNA is filed under the name Hyperolius marmoratus (marbled rush frog). RNAcentral's name for it is "tRNA-Cys". Lineage: Eukaryota; Metazoa; Chordata; Amphibia; Anura; Hyperoliidae. The record is from RNAcentral.